RNAcentral lists this unclassified non-coding RNA (369 nucleotides) under Hevea brasiliensis (rubber tree). Lineage: Eukaryota; Viridiplantae; Streptophyta; Magnoliopsida; Malpighiales; Euphorbiaceae. The record is from RNAcentral.
UGAGUUUAGAAUCUUAUUAAACAUUAAAAACAGUACAAGUGAAAAAGUUUAUAAUCAGGCUAUUCAAAAACAGAAAUCUGUUUUGCUUCCAUCUUGAAACUCAUGAUCCUCCAAACAAUUUAACAAACUUAUUUUGCUAUAAACUUCACACCUUUAAGGAUCAUCCAACAGAUUUAGCUACAAGUUACUCUCAUCUUGAAUUAACUUACAAAACCCAGUUACAUAACUUCUAAUCACAUAAUUUCCUUCACUGAUUUUUAUGAAUAAAAAUCCAAUAAUAUCAGCAAUGAAAGAAGCACAAUUUAGCAUGAACAGACCACAAAAUUCUCUGUUUUGCCUCAACCAGUUGAAGCUCAUAAGUUAUAACUA